AAUAAACGCAGCCAUAAGUUAUCGUGUUCAAUAUUGAUCGUUCGUUUUAUUUGUUUUUUUAUGAUUAGUAUUUUUAUUGUUAGUAGAUUAUAAAACAUGAAUAAUACUUUAUGGGUGACUUAUGUUUUUUAGUUUUUCUUUAAAAAAUAAAUAAAAUGGACUAUUAAAGUUGGACACGAAAACUCAUGGUUGUACUUAUU
Non-coding RNA from Oryza meridionalis, 200 nucleotides. The record is from Rfam. Lineage: Eukaryota; Viridiplantae; Streptophyta; Magnoliopsida; Poales; Poaceae.